Molecule: ribosomal RNA, 227 nt
Filed under: uncultured bacterium
Lineage: Bacteria
Description: partial 16S ribosomal RNA
Rfam family: Bacterial small subunit ribosomal RNA
Source: RNAcentral
UGAGUAACACGUAUCCAACCUGCCGUCUACUCUUGGCCAGCCCUCUGAAAGGAAGAUUAAUACAAGAUGGCAUCAUGAGUCCACAUGUUCACAUGAUUAAAGGUAUUCCGGUAGACGAUGGGGAUGCGUUCCAUUAGAUAGUAGGCGGGGUAACGGCCCACCUAGUCUUCGAUGGAUAGGGGUUCUGAGAGGAAGGUCCCCCACAUUGGAACUGAGACACGGUCCAA